GACGAACGCUGGCGGCGUGCCUAAUACAUGCAAGUAGAACGCUGAAGAGAGGAGCUUGCUCUUCUUGGAUGAGUUGCGAACGGGUGAGUAACGCGUAGGUAACCUGCCUUGUAGCGGGGGAUAACUAUUGGAAACGAUAGCUAAUACCGCAUAACAAUGGAUGACACAUGUCAUUUAUUUGAAAGGGGCAAUUGCUCCACUACAAGAUGGACCUGCGUUGUAUUAGCUAGUAGGUGAGGUAAUGGCUCACCUAGGCGACGAUACAUAGCCGACCUGAGAGGGUGGUCGGCCACACUGGGACUGGAACACGGCCCAGACUCCUACGGGAGGCAGCAGUAGGGGAUCUUCGGCAAUGGGGGGAACCCUUACCGAGCAACGCCGCGGGGGUGAAGAAGGUUUUCGGGUCGGAAAGCUCUGUUGUGAGUCAAGAACGGGUGUUAGGGUGGAAAGUUCACACUGUGACGGUAGCUUACCAGAAAGGGACGGCUAACUACGUG
RNAcentral lists this ribosomal RNA (497 nucleotides) under uncultured bacterium. Its description in RNAcentral is "partial 16S ribosomal RNA". It matches the Rfam family "Bacterial small subunit ribosomal RNA", at positions 28 to 507 of the family's 1533-position model. The record is from RNAcentral.